GCUAUAAUAAAUUAACAAUCAAAUUUUUUAACUGAUUUGAAUCGACAUUAUCGGAUCCAAGUAUACACCGGAUUGUGUUGUUAUAGCAACAUAAAAAUAUAUUUUUAUUCGGACAGCUUUAGGCUAAAUGUACACGAGCAACAUUUUCGUACGCGCGCGAUUCUACUACACCAUAUGUCUUUCUUUAUUUUCCUAUUAAGAACAACAAAGGUAGUCAUAUGACUACACGAUAUUGCACUAUAAAAUGUCGCUCGUGGAAUUUCCGUGUAAAGUAGCGCUAUCCAGCGGUGGAGUCUUUCAUUUCAUUUAUUUCUUUCUUCUAUCAUCUUUUUCUGUAUUAUGCCCACAUUGUAAUAUUAAACAAGUAAUUAUAAAGUUAAUGUUUUAGUUAUUAAUAACAUUUUUCAAACGUCAAAAUUGUAGAUAACACAAUCAUAUAAACAAGUCUAGACAUAUUAAAAGCACUAAAGAAACCAUUUGAAAAUUGAGUCGUGAAAAAUCAAUAUGGAACAUAAGAAUGUUCUCGUUCUAUGUAGGCGUGAUAUACUAUGACUGUCUUAGAUAAAGACAAAGACAUUCUACCCACCUCUGUCUACCUUGUGGUUAUCCCUAGCGAGUGUCGACACCUGUCUAUACAGAGAUGAGUUUCUAUGAUCGAUCAUAUACAUAUGUAUAUAUAAGCAUGAUUCAGGGUAAUCUCCUCACCUCAAAAAGGCAAUAUGUACCAUCGAUCACAAUUUUAUUUAAUCUACUCUAGUUAUGCGAGAAAUAUUCAUAAUUUGGAAACACUACUACACUUUAUGUUAACAGUAAAAGAUUCAGUCUUUAUUUUUAUUUACUUAAAACAUAUCUCAAAUAUAUCUAAUUAUAAUUUUAUUUAUUUAUUAUUAUUAAAAAUAUAUUUAUGUUAAAUAUGCAUAACUUUAAAUAAAAUUUAAUUGUUUCAUUAGA
This is a long non-coding RNA of Bombus huntii, 951 nucleotides long. RefSeq lists it as uncharacterized. Lineage: Eukaryota; Metazoa; Arthropoda; Insecta; Hymenoptera; Apidae. The record is from RefSeq and is a predicted model, not a curated record. The transcript has 2 exons.